CGCCUUAUACUCCUACGGGAGGCAGCAGUGGGGAAUUUUGGACAAUGGGCGCAAGCCUGAUCCAGCCAUGCCGCGUGAGUGAAGAAGGCCUUCGGGUUGUAAAGCUCUUUCGGCCGGGAAGAAAUCGUUGUCUCUAACAUAGGCCAUGGAUGACGGUACCGGACUAAGAAGCACCGGCUAACUACGUGCCAGCAGCCGCGGUAAUACGUAGGGUGCGAGCGUUAAUCGGAAUUACUGGGCGUAAAGCGUGCGCAGGCGGUUUUGUAAGACAGAUGUGAAAUCCCCGGGCUUAACCUGGGAACUGCGUUUGUGACUGCAAGGCUAGAGUACGGCAGAGGGGGGUGGAAUUCCUGGUGUAGCAGUGAAAUGCGUAGAUAUCAGGAGGAACACCGAUGGCGAAGGCAGCCCCCUGGGCCUGUACUGACGCUCAUGCACGAAAGCGUGGGGAGCAAACAGGAUUAGAUCCCGAGUAGUCCACGUACCA
Molecule: ribosomal RNA, 484 nt
Filed under: uncultured bacterium
Lineage: Bacteria
Description: bacterial SSU rRNA
Rfam family: Bacterial small subunit ribosomal RNA
Source: RNAcentral